GAUGAACGCUGGCGGCGUGCCUAAUACAUGCAAGUCGAGCGAACGGACGAGAAGCUUGCUUUUCUGAUGUUAGCGGCGGACGGGUGAGUAACACGUGGAUAACCUACCUAUAAGACUGGGAUAACUUCGGGAAACCGGAGCUAAUACCGGAUAAUAUUUUGAACCGCAUGGUUCAAAAGUGAAAGACGGUCUUGCUGUCACUUAUAGAUGGAUCCGCGCUGCAUUAGCUAGUUGGUAAGGUAACGGCUUACCAAGGCAACGAUGCAUAGCCGACCUGAGGGGGUGGUCGGCCACACUGGAACUGAGCCACGGUCCAGACUCCUACGGGAGGCAGCAGUAGGGAAUCUUCCGCAAUGGGCGAAAGCCUGACGGAGCAACGCCGCGUGAGUGGUGAAGGUCUUCCGAUCGUAAAACUCUGUUAUUAGGGAAGAACAUAUGUGUAAGUAGCUGUGCACAUCUUGACGGUACCUGAUCAGAAAGCCCCGGCUAACUACGUG
Molecule: ribosomal RNA, 497 nt
Filed under: uncultured bacterium
Lineage: Bacteria
Description: partial 16S ribosomal RNA
Rfam family: Bacterial small subunit ribosomal RNA
Source: RNAcentral